AAUAGAUACCCCGGUAGUCCCAGCCGUAAACGAUGCUCGCUAGGUGUCAGGCAUGGCGCGACCGUGUCUGGUGCCGCAGGGAAGCCGUGAAGCGAGCCACCUGGGAAGUACGGCCGCAAGGCUGAAACUUAAAGGAAUUGGCGGGGGAGCGCAACAACGGGUGGAGCCUGCGGUUUAAUUGGACUCAACGCCGGACAACUCACCGGGGACGACAGCAAUAUGUAGGUCAGGCUGAAGACCUUACCUGAAUCGCUGAGAGGAGGUGCAUGGCCGUCGCCAGUUCGUACUGUGAAGCAUCCUGUUAAGUCAGGCAACGAGCGAGACCCGUGCCCACUGUUACCAGCAUAUCCUCCGGGAUGAUGGGUACUCUGUGGGGACCGCCGGUGUUAAAUCGGUAGGAAGGUGCGGGCCACGGUAGGUCAGUAUGCCCCGAAUUUCCCGGGCUACACGCGGGCUACAAUGAAUGGGACAAUGGGUCCCUCCCUGAAAAGGCUGGUAAUCUCACAAACCCAUCCUUAAGUUCGGAUCGAGGGUCUGUAACGUCGCCUCG
This 550-nucleotide ribosomal RNA is filed under the name uncultured bacterium. RNAcentral describes it as "bacterial SSU rRNA". It matches the Rfam family "Archaeal small subunit ribosomal RNA", at positions 728 to 1276 of the family's 1478-position model. The record is from RNAcentral.